CGGGUUAUGUAUGCAGUCGUGCGGAGUACCCUUCGGGGUACUCGAGCGGCGAACGGGUGAGUAACACGUGAGCAACCUGCCCUAGGCUUUGGGAUAACCCUCGGAAACGGGGGCUAAUACCGAAUAUUCACUCACGGGCGCAUGUUUGUGGGUGGAAAGUUUUUCGGCUUGGGAUGGGCUCGCGGCCUAUCAGCUUGUUGGUGGGGUAAUGGCCUACCAAGGCGACGACGGGUAGCCGGCCUGAGAGGGCGACCGGCCACACUGGGACUGAGACACGGCCCAGACUCCUACGGGAGGCAGCAGUGGGGAAUAUUGCACAAUGGGCGGAAGCCUGAUGCAGCGACGCCGCGUGAGGGAUGACGGCCUUCGGGUUGUAAACCUCUUUCAGCAGGGACGAAGCGCAAGUGACGGUACCUGCAGAAGAAGCGCCGGCCAACUACGUGCCAGCAGCCGCGGUAAGACGUAGGGCGCGAGCGUUGUCCGGAUUUAUUGGGCGUAAAGAGCUCGUAGGCGGCUUGUCGCGUCGACUGUGAAAACCCGUGGCUCAACUGCGGGCCUGCAGUCGAUACGGGCAGGCUAGAGUUCGGUAGGGGAGACUGGAAUUCCUGGUGUAGCGGUGAAAUGCGCAGAUAUCAGGAGGAACACCGGUGGCGAAGGCGGGUCUCUGGGCCGAUACUGACGCUGAGGAGCGAAAGCGUGGGGAGCGAACAGGAUUAGAUACCCUGGUAGUCCACGCUGUAAACGUUGGGCGCUAGGUGUGGGGGGCCUCUCCGGUUCUCUGUGCCGCAUCUAACGCAUUAAGCGCCCGCCUGGGGAGUACGGCCGCAAGGCUAAAACUCAGAGGAAUUGACGGUGGCCCGCACAAUCUGCCGGAGCAUGCGGAUUAAUUCGCUGCAACGCGUAUUAUCUUUACCUGAGCUUGACAUCGCCGGAGAUCCUUGCACAUAUC
RNAcentral lists this ribosomal RNA (949 nucleotides) under Verrucosispora sp. Its description in RNAcentral is "bacterial SSU rRNA". It matches the Rfam family "Bacterial small subunit ribosomal RNA", at positions 45 to 1010 of the family's 1533-position model. The record is from RNAcentral. Lineage: Bacteria; Bacillati; Actinomycetota; Actinomycetes; Micromonosporales; Micromonosporaceae.